Molecule: ribosomal RNA, 253 nt
Filed under: uncultured bacterium
Lineage: Bacteria
Description: partial 16S ribosomal RNA
Rfam family: Bacterial small subunit ribosomal RNA
Source: RNAcentral
UACGUAGGGUGCAAGCGUUGUCCGGAAUUAUUGGGCGUAAAGAGCUUGUAGGCGGUUUGUCGCGUCUGCUGUGAAAUUUCGGGGCUCAACCCCGAACUUGCAGUGGGUACGGGCAGACUAGAGUGUGGUAGGGGAGACUGGAAUUCCUGGUGUAGCGGUGAAAUGCGCAGAUAUCAGGAGGAACACCGAUGGCGAAGGCAGCUCGCUGGGACGGUACUGACGCUGAAGCGCGAAAGCGUGGGGAGCAAACAGG